Molecule: long non-coding RNA, 711 nt
Filed under: Rattus norvegicus (Norway rat)
Lineage: Eukaryota; Metazoa; Chordata; Mammalia; Rodentia; Muridae
Description: long non-coding RNA NONRATT003519
Source: RNAcentral
GCCCCUGUGUCCCAGUUUGAUGGCCCCAGCCACCAGAAGAAAGUGGUGUCAUGGAUAGAUGUUUAUGCACGUGCCACAUGCCAGCCCAGGGAGGUGGUGGUACCUCUGAGCAUGGAACUCAUGGGUAAUGUGGUCAAACAACUCGUGCCCAGCUGUGUGACUGUGCAGCGCUGUGGUGGCUGCUGUCCUGACGAUGGCCUGGAGUGUGUGCCCAUUGGGCAACACCAAGUCCGAAUGCAGGUACUGGGGCCUAUGGGUCAGGCAGGCUGAUGGGACAGUGAUGUCCUGGGGACUAGGUCAACCCAGAGACAGGUACCCAGGAGGUGGGAGGUUCUGGUCAUUCCUUCUCUAGCCCAUCUAGUAUCCCCUUUCUCUGUCUUUCUGCUGCCCCCCCCACCACUCACUGUCUCUUCCCCAUUCUCCUGAGUACAGAUCCUCAUGAUCCAGUACCCGAGCAGUCAGCUGGGGGAGAUGUCCCUGGAAGAACACAGCCAAUGUGAAUGCAGGUGCCAGCCAGGUCCAACCCUUAAGUUCACAAAGUGUAGCAUGGGGUGGGGGUAUCAGGCAUGGGACUGUACCUUACUUAGUAGGGAUUAGGUGACUGAGAGCAGAGCCAGAAGUAGGCAUGGAUUCUGGGGCAAGAGAGCAGGAGGUUUCUUUAAUCAAGCGCGCGUUCUCUCUCUCUCUGCCUCUCUCUCUCUCUCUCUCUCU